GCGCUUUGGCGAGGCAGUGCUGAUCGACUGCCACUCGAUGCCGCACGAGGCGCUGGACGGUUCCGCCCGUCACGGUGCAC
This 80-nucleotide transfer RNA is filed under the name Antarctobacter albus. Its description in RNAcentral is "Mameliella alba tRNA-Gly". The record is from RNAcentral. Lineage: Bacteria; Pseudomonadati; Pseudomonadota; Alphaproteobacteria; Rhodobacterales; Roseobacteraceae.